Molecule: ribosomal RNA, 247 nt
Filed under: uncultured bacterium
Lineage: Bacteria
Description: partial 16S ribosomal RNA
Rfam family: Bacterial small subunit ribosomal RNA
Source: RNAcentral
AUACGUAGGGAGCGAGCGUUGUCCGGAUUUACUGGGUGUAAAGGGUGCGUAGGCGGGACUGCAAGUCAGACGUGAAAUACCGAGGCUUAACCUCGGGGCUGCGUUUGAAACUGUAGUUCUUGAGUGAAGUAGAGGCAGGCGGAAUUCCUAGUGUAGCGGUGAAAUGCGUAGAUAUUGGGAGGACCACCUGUGGCGAAGGCGCCUAACUGGAACGGACCUGACGGUGAGUAACGAAAGCCAGGGGCGC